Molecule: long non-coding RNA, 481 nt
Organism: Hylaeus volcanicus
Lineage: Eukaryota; Metazoa; Arthropoda; Insecta; Hymenoptera; Colletidae
Exons: 3
Source: RefSeq, a predicted model, not a curated record
GUUACAGAUACCCAAGAUGGAGACGAUUUUUUACAAUCUAUGCAAAAUCGAUUUUCCGACCUUGUUUUGAUUUUUUUGAAGGAAACAUCACGUGUUACUUCGCUAACAUAUCCACGCUUAUCUACAGUCUAAAACAAGUUUUACGACAUUAACCCUCAAGUUCAGGGUAGUCCGUUUUUGAACUGGCAGACCUGUUCCUAAAUUACCAAGUAUUCUUUAUUGAGAAAAAAAGACAAUUGAAAUGAAGACGAAAUUUCAAGUUAUUGAACACAUUCGUCCAUAUAAAAUCAAUAGGCAGUGAAUUCAUUAUUCAAAAAAAUACGUGGAUGUUUUUUCGAGGUUCAUGAUUUUUUAAAAUUGACCCCUUGAUCAACAAAAAGAAAAUGGAUAACGAAUGCUUGGAAUCAAAUAGUUCAUGUGUUCUAUUCUUGCCAAUAUGCAACCCACACAUAAGAGACAAAUGUUUUUGUUAGUGAGUACC